Molecule: long non-coding RNA, 4735 nt
Organism: Populus trichocarpa (black cottonwood)
Lineage: Eukaryota; Viridiplantae; Streptophyta; Magnoliopsida; Malpighiales; Salicaceae
Exons: 2
Source: RefSeq, a predicted model, not a curated record
UAAGAUAAAAUAAAUCACAAAACAAUUCAAAUAAAAUCAAAUUUCCCCGCCAAAACGAAAAAUCAAAACCUCCGCCUGUCUCUCAAAUGUCGAUGGAGAAAGGUUUGAUAUCAGUGGACCGAUUCACCGAGUCAAGCCAGACAUACUUCUUGACUCACUUACACACAGACCACACUCAAGGCUUGACCUCAAAAUGGGGAAAAGGUCCUUUCUUUUGCUCCAAACUAACCGCUAAGCUCUUACCUUUCAAGUUCCCUGAUUUCAACCUCUCUCUACUUUGCGUCGUCGAUCUUCACAUCUGGCAUUCCUUUUCCUCAUUUCUCCGACCACCGGAUCUCAAAUCACCACUCAUGUCAUGGCUCUUGACGCCCACCACUGCUCUGGUUGUUGACAUCAUUGCUUCUCAUCUGGAACAUGACAUCGUUAUUGGGAUUGAUACUUUGGGGAAAGAAGAGCUUCUAAUUCACAUUUCACGUGUGCUUAACGUAAAGGUACGAUCAUCGUUGAUGUUGAUGGAAGAUUCUGAUCUUUUAUAUGCGUGGAUUAUGAAGGAUGUGUUUCUGUAAAGCACAGAACCAAGUUCUUAGCUCAGUUACCAUGCAAGGUGUUGAUUGAAAUUUAGUGAGUUACUUGCAAAUUACAUUUGCAAACUAUUUCUGGUUCAGGUUUGUUUUAGCUUUAAUUUCCUUUCCUUUGAAGAUUUGGGUGUGGCCAGAACAUUUACAAACCAUGUAUCUUCUUGGAUUCCAUGACACAUUCACAACUAAAACUUCUCUAACAAGAGUCCAAGCAGUUCCUCGUUACAGUUUCAGCGUUGAAACUUUAGAGGGAUUAAACACAAUGCGACCAACAAUAGGAAUCAUGCCAUCUGGUCUUCUAUGGGUGCUGAAACUUGUCAAAGGAGACAACAAUCUCUUCGGUUCGCUCUUAACUUCUCGUUACAAAAAAAAAGACAGUCAUCUGAUAAGCUAGACGGUAAUUUAGGAUAUGCUGAUAGAUACCACCAGCUAGUACAUGUUUUCAGUUCCUUACUCUAAUCACUCAUGCUUUGCAGAGAUACAAGAGUUUAUUGAACUUGUCCAGCCAACUAACAUGAAAGGUAUUGUGUCUUCAUCAUCUUGUUAUGUUGGCCCACUUUACUACUUCGGUCGCCUUUGUGGUGUAAACCAACCACUAAAGAGGUUCGUCUACAAGAAUGAAAGGAAAAAGGGAGGAAAAAAAAAGUUGUUGUAUCUUAUUUUGAAAGUGGCAAUUCUCCCGAGGCAGGAAGGAAAAAAAGCAGGCUAGUAAGAGUGGAUUAUAAAAGAGUUAAUGUAAGUUGAGUGAGCGCAUCAAGAAGAGUACGCCGAGGGGCUAAAAUUGUGGAAAGUGAUUGUUCAGAUUAAAAGUGUUAAUUUUUGUGAUUGGUUGAGCCAGAAAAAUACUUGUAGAAAUACUUGCAAUCAAGCAUAUAUCUGUAGAACUCUGGUAUGGGUAUCGCGUGGUAUCGAAAGUUGCUGGAAAUGAUAAUUUGCCUUGUUUUCAGUAUCUCGAGUUUUACUGUGCAGUAGUUGAUGAACUUCAUCAUGAAGGAUACAUCGAUCCAAAUUCUUCAGGUAUUUUGUUAAUGCAAAACUUAUGGGAUUUUGUCUGCCAGUGCACCCCUUGUAGAUAUUUAAACUCUCUCAAUUAACAUCAUCAGACACUAACUGUGAGACUUUCAGUGCAGGCAUUCACCAAGCUUUAUAAGUGCUUUGCCUCAUCUCAUUCUGCAUGUCAAACUUUAUUGUAUAAGCUGAAAAUGUUCAUUAGUAGUGUCAUGUAUUGAAGAAUCAAGAAAUGGGUUGUAGCCUUGUUGGGUCCCUUGUUAAGGUGACUUUGGUUUGACUGCAAAGUUAGUACUUUUUACGGUCAACAUUCAACCAGAACUCAACACGCGGUCCACCCUUGAAAUGAUGCCAAGAAAAAUGGCCACCUAAGUUUGAAUUGGUGGUGAUUUUCUGUCAUGUUGCAGAAACAUGUGAGAAAUUCGUGGAAUUCUACGUAAAUUUCUUAGGAAAACUCAAAACUUCUGCUACCUUUUGGAAUGCCUUUGCAAGAAACACCUUUUUGGUUAUGUUGAGCUGAUGGUAUCUUAGUUGUUUUCCAUCAAUGCUGACUCCAUCUAUAUGAAUGUGGCUGCUGUGCAUGUUAGUGCACUUAGAACAUGUUUGGAACGCGGUACAAACCGGCGUUUCCAAAAAAAAUUAAUUUUUUUUUUGCUAAAAUUUAAUAUGGUUUGUACGUUUUGGAUCGUUUUGAUUUGCUGAUGUCAAAAAUAAUUUUUUAAAAAUAAAAAAAAUCAUUGGCAUGCAUUUCGGCACAAAAAGUUAUUUGAUAAACAACCGCUACCACACUGCCAAGCACCCUCUUACUCAUGUGUGAUCCUGCUGUUGUUUGCACUUGUUCAUGUUGCUGAUUCCCUAGUGUCUUUGCUCAACUUUUGUCCUCUCAGUUGCUGUUUUGGCACUAAAAAACCUUUGAUGAUACAGGAUGCAAAUGCAACAACAUACCCAGGACCACCGUUUUUACUCUUACAUGUCCAAUGUAAUCCAUGAUACUCUGCCAUAUAUAGUGUAAUAUAGUUGAUCUUUACACCAUGUAAUGGUAACAAAUUCGAGAGAAAUCAUAGAUUAGGAAAUAUAAUGCCAAAGAAAAUAAGAAAACUGUACACCAAACCAGGACUUUACCUUCACAAUGACCUAAAUAAGGGUUUCCUACAAAGCCUGCCAUACUAAAAACAUUGAAGUGUACUCACGUGAAGUGUUCAUUAAGCACCAUUAUAUAUUAUUCAUCAGAAUCAAAGCGACUGCCUUAUUUGAGAUGUGUUGAUGCUACUGACUAACCUCCCCAGUUUCUAGAAAAAAAAGUCUUACUUUUCUUUCUUGUUUGUUGUACGUGACUGAGACAUCAAGACUACAAACUUGCAUAAUGUUCACAUGGACAAACAUUUCACACCCAUUUUCUGCAGGAGAAAUGCCAUCAAUGAAACCGAGGAGGUGAGUGUUUAGGUUUUUAAAAAUCACUUUUCCAUACUCCCCUCUUCCUAGCAUUUACUUUUGAGCAUGUGCUGGUGCAUACAUACACUUUCCAAGCACGCAUAUAAUAAUAAUAAGUAGAGUUAAGAUAUUCAGGUGUUGAAUAAUUUCUCAAGUGAAUUUAGAAUCUUCUAAUGUCUAUAUUUUUUUCAUGUCCUGUUCAAGCAUUUUGUAUCUGUUGUUUAAAAGAAAACAACAAUCAUGGAUAUCAGGUUUGGUGUUUCAGUAUAAUUUUGCAUCUGUAGAUAAACAUUUCAGAUCCGUUUUGUGUAAGCAUAAUGCUAUGCAUCUAGAGAAAAAAAGAAAAAAAGAAGGUGAGAUAUCAGAUCAUGAAUGAAGCUGAAGAUUAUAAACAAGCUGCAAGUGUAAUAUUUGAUAGAGAAUUGUCUGUGAUGCUGGAGUUUUUGUUAGCUUUUUCCGUGUUGCUUUGGUCUAUGAUGGAUUUACUUGUAUAACUUUUUCAAGUGGCGGUUUUGGUCUCUCGAGCAUCUACUCAAGGCUUUAUCCUGCUAGGUUCUAUAUGAUAUAUGCUUUAUUUUUUCUCUAGUUUGGUUUCCUGCCUUGUUUAACUGUUAAAAUCAUGUUUCUUUAAAUUUAAUUUUUUUAUUAUAUUUUUAAAUUUUUUUAAUAUGUUGAUAUCAAAAUAAUUUUUUAAAAAUAAAAAAAAUAUUAUUUUAAUAUAUUUUCAAAUAAAAAAAUAAUUUUUAUAAGUGAAUUGUUUUAGGCAGGGAGAGUUUUGGAAGCAAAAGAGCUUUUCAAGGAUAUACGUGCCCAAAGCCAUUUCCCUGAUUUAAUGACCUACUCAACUUUGCUUGAUGGCUUAAGAAAACAAGGGUAUCUUGAUCAAGCGUUGGGACUAUUUUGUGACAUGCAAAAAAGUUACUUGAAGCCUCAUGAUUUGGUGAUCUAUGAUAUCAUAAUCAUUGCCAUGUGCAGAUAUAGGAAGCUUAAAGAUGCACUGGAGUUGUUUUCGGAACUCAGUCAAAGGGCUGCAGCUUGAUGCUCGGGCUUGGACUAUAGUAAUCAAUGGACUUUGCAGAGAAGGAUUGCUAGAUGAAGCAUAUAAAUCUUUCAGACAAAUGGAAGAGGAUGACCGCCCACCAGAUAAUUGUUCCUAUAAUGUUCUUAUCCGAGGAUUUCUCCAGCACAAGGAUCCAUGAACAGUGCAACUUAUUAGUGAGAUGAAAAGCCAAGGAUUCUCAGCAUAUGCGCAAGCAACAAAGUUGGUGCAUGGUAGAUGAUGAUCAUGUUUUCAAACAGUUGCUUGGAUUUGGUGAAGUACGUGUUUGGGACUAGCAUUUGAUUCUUGUGGGUUAUAAAUCGAUACACGUGGACUUAUGUGUCUGUCAACUGUUUUGGUAGAUUUAAUUGAUGAAAGCUAUUCAAGUUUUCUCUUCAUCAUCCUAAUUAAGAUGCCUCUUCUUCAACCAAAUAAGAAUAUUGGUAGAUUAUUAUUGAAUCACUUCUUCAUUCCAUUGUUAUCUGUCAUGGUGUAUUUUUGCAUAGAAGACUACCCCUUCUUCUCUUUUGUUUUUCUUGGUUUUUGGAUCUUUUGUUCUAUUUAUUUGGAAGUCAAGAUGAUGUAGCUGUUUAAAAGAAAUGUUAAUAUAAUUUUGAUUGGCAUUAAGUAAUUUGUAUGUGAAGUAAUAUGGGAUUGCAUGUUUUGUCUUUUUAGCAAA